AAAAAUCCGAUCUCCAAAUUCUUCUAUUUUCCCUGUCAAAAAAAUUCUUGAAAAUCACCUUUUUUUUUCGACCGUCACAGUGGUGUUUCCCCUUAAUAUUGAAUGCAUU
Molecule: long non-coding RNA, 109 nt
Organism: Cotesia glomerata
Lineage: Eukaryota; Metazoa; Arthropoda; Insecta; Hymenoptera; Braconidae
Exons: 3
Source: RefSeq, a predicted model, not a curated record